RNAcentral lists this long non-coding RNA (502 nucleotides) under Mytilus galloprovincialis (Mediterranean mussel). The record is from RNAcentral. Lineage: Eukaryota; Metazoa; Mollusca; Bivalvia; Mytilida; Mytilidae.
GUCUUUUAUGGAAAUCAAACGUUUUAUCUGUACGGGCCCGUAUGUACACCUUAAGUAAAGUGAAAGCACUGAAACUGUUUUGUUUAUAGUUGUUGUUUACCCAUGUAUCUGUAAUAAGUAAGUUUUAUUGAUGACAUUACUGUAUUGAAAUAAACAAUUCAAUACAGAUCAAACCCUUUUUGGAGUUGGGUUGGUUUUUUUUUAAUUUAUUUAUUUUUUUACUUUUUGUUUCCCCCCUCGAAAAUACGUGACAUGUAGCGUUAAAUUUUACAUGCUCUAUAAAAAAAACAGUGGCGGAUCCAGAACUUUUUUUUUCGCGACAGUCAUACUUCAGUGAUUCCCUAUAUAAUCAACACAAUUUUUCCUACAAAAUGGUAGGUCUGGGCAAUCUAUCCCGCGUGGAUCCCCCUUUGUAAAUAUCAAAACGUACUGUACGACAAAAACAUUUCCCAUAGUAUACCAAUUUAUAUUCGAGACGUCUCUUUCCAAGUGUUCAUUUCAG